Molecule: ribosomal RNA, 92 nt
Filed under: Pseudohongiella sp.
Lineage: Bacteria; Pseudomonadati; Pseudomonadota; Gammaproteobacteria; Pseudomonadales; Pseudohongiellaceae
Source: RNAcentral
CCACCUGAUCCCAUCCCGAACUCAGAAGUGAAACCGCUCAGCGCCGAUGGUAGUGUGGGGUCUCCCCAUGUGAGAGUAGGACAUCGUCAGGC